Molecule: ribosomal RNA, 341 nt
Filed under: uncultured archaeon
Lineage: Archaea
Description: partial 16S ribosomal RNA
Rfam family: Archaeal small subunit ribosomal RNA
Source: RNAcentral
CGGGAAACUGGGGAUAAUCCCUGAUAGAUCUCGGUCGCUGGAAUGCUCCGAGAUCCAAAGCUCCGGCGCUCAAGGAUGGGUCUGCGGCCUAUCAGGUAGUAGUGGGUGUAGCGUACCUACUAGCCUACGACGGGUACGGGUUGUGAGAGCAAGAGCCCGGAGAUGGAUUCUGAGACACGAAUCCAGGCCCUACGGGGUGCAGCAGGCGCGAAAACUUUACAAUGCCGGCAACGGCGAUAAGGGAACCUCGAGUGCCAGGUUACAAAUCUGGCUGUCGUGAUGCCUAAAAAGCAUUGCAUAGCAAGGGCCGGGCAAGACCGGUGCCAGCCGCCGCGGUAACA